Molecule: ribosomal RNA, 516 nt
Filed under: uncultured soil bacterium
Lineage: Bacteria
Description: bacterial SSU rRNA
Rfam family: Bacterial small subunit ribosomal RNA
Source: RNAcentral
AGAUUGAACGCUGGCGGCAUGCUUUACACAUGCAAGUCGAACAGUAACGCGGGGGCAACCCUGGCGACGAGUGGCGAACGGGUGAGUAAUACAUCGGAACAUGUCCUGGAGUGGGGGAUAGCUCGGCGAAAGCCGGAUUAAUACCGCAUACGCUCUGAGGAGGAAAGCGGGGGACUCGUAAGGGCCUCGCGCUGCGGGAGUGGCCGAUGUCGGAUUAGCUAGUUGGUGAGGUAAAGGCUCACCAAGGCGACGAUCCGUAGCUGGUCUGAGAGGAUGAUCAGCCACACUGGGACUGAGACACGGCCCAGACUCCUACGGGAGGCAGCAGUGGGGAAUUUUGGACGAUGGGGGCAACCCUGAUCCAGCCAUGCCGCGUGAGUGAAGAAGGCCUUCGGUUGUAAAGCUCGUUUCGGACGGACGAAUGGUUACGUGAAUUACCUGUGACUGAGUAGACGGUACCGUAAUAAGUAAGCACCGGACUAACGUAACGUCGACCAAGCCAAGCCGCGGUUAACG